AUCAGAGCGUGAGACUUCACAUCUGGAGCACAGGAGAGAUUCUGUGAUAAGUCCUCCUUCUAGCUUGUCCCACUAGCAGUCGAGCUGAGACACUCAGGACUGAACAGACUGCACAGCUUCUGUGACUGAGCCUACAAAACACCUUCUUUGAAACCACACAUGAUAGAAGGGCUUUACGUUUGCAGCAGCACUACUAAAGUCGGCAGGAAUGUUGCUGCAGGAAAACAUC
This is a long non-coding RNA of Oreochromis aureus, 229 nucleotides long. RefSeq lists it as uncharacterized. NCBI's taxonomy places the organism in Eukaryota, Metazoa, Chordata, Actinopteri, Cichliformes, Cichlidae. The record is from RefSeq and is a predicted model, not a curated record. The transcript is spliced from 3 exons.